CAGCAGCCGCGGUAAUACGGAGGAUGCGAGCGUUAUCCGGAUUUAUUGGGUUUAAAGGGUGCGUAGGCGGCCUGUUAAGUCAGCGGUGAAAUCUAGGAGCUUAACUCCUAAAUUGCCAUUGAUACUGGCGGGCUUGAGUGUAGAUGAGGUAGGCGGAAUGCGUGGUGUAGCGGUGGAAUGCAUAGAUAUCACGCAGAACUCCGAUUGCGAAGGCAGCUUACUAAGGUACAACUGACGCUGAAGCACGAAAGCGUGGGUAUCAAACAGGAUUAGAUACCCUGGUAGUCCACGCAGUAAACGAUGAUAACUGGGCGUAUGCGAUAUACAGUAUGCCCCUAAGCGAAAGCGUUAAGUUAUCCACCUGGGGAGUACGCCGGCAACGGUGAAACUCAAAGGAAUUGACGGGGGCCCGCACAAGCGGAGGAACAUGUGGUUUAAUUCGAUGAUACGCGAGGAACCUUACCCGGGAUUGAAAUGUAGAUGACCGCUCCUGAAAGGGAGUUUUCCUUCGGGACAUCUAUGUAGGUGCUGCAUGGUUGUCGUCAGCUCGUGCCGUGAGGUGUCGGCUUAAGUGCUAUAACGAGCGCAACCCCUGUCUACGGUUGCCAUCAGGUAAUGCUGGGAACUCCGUAGAGACUGCCGUCGUAAGGCGUGAGGAAGGUGGGGAUGACGUCAAAUCAGCACGGCCCUUACAUCCGGGGCGACACACGUGUUACAAUGGUAAGGACAAAGGGCAGCUACCUGGCGACAGGAUGCGAAUCUCUAAACCUUAUCACAGUUCGGAUCGGAGUCUGCAACUCGACUCCGUGAAGCUGGAUUCGCUAGUAAUCGCGCAUCAGCCAUGGCGCGGUGAAUACGUUCCCGGGCCUUGUACACACCGCCCGUCAAGCCAUGGGAGUCUGGAGUACCUAAAGUCCGUAACCGCAAGGGUCGGCCUAGGGUAAUACAGGUGACUGGGGCUAAGUCGUAACAAGGUAGCCGU
This 982-nucleotide ribosomal RNA is filed under the name uncultured Porphyromonas sp. RNAcentral describes it as "bacterial SSU rRNA". It matches the Rfam family "Bacterial small subunit ribosomal RNA", at positions 509 to 1503 of the family's 1533-position model. The record is from RNAcentral. Lineage: Bacteria; Pseudomonadati; Bacteroidota; Bacteroidia; Bacteroidales; Porphyromonadaceae.